GGGAUGAACCUCUUGGCUCCUGGUUUCAGCCUGGCCCAGCCCAUUGCAGUCAUUUGGGAUAUGGGGAGUGAACUAGCAGAUGAACUACAUCUGGAUAUCAGAGAAGAUCUAAUCUGUGGAAAGAAACUGGAGGACUUUUUAAAAUGGGAAAAAUUUGAUAAUAGGUAGUUGUUUACUUUACCUAAACUGUAAGGUGACUGAGAACAAGGAGCUUUCUAAUCUGUUUCUGUGGUGUGACUCUACUAUCACAUUCACAGACAAAUACUUAAGUAAAUGCUUAAAUAAUUAAUCAAUAAUGAAGUGAAUGAAUAUAAUACUUAACCACAGGACUCAAACACAUCCCAGUAUGUAGAGGGGCCUUAGAACUUUAUAUUCUAGUAAGGAGUUUGUUAUCAUGUAUUCUAGGAGUAUACAUUACAAAAACAAGGAGACUUGAGUAAAACUGAACACCAGGAUAUACCAAUUCCCUAAGGAGGUAGAACAGAAUUAGGUGCAAGCCCAGCUGGCCAGGCUGUUUCUGCCACAUGCAUAAUGUUCCUCAAGACCAAAUAAGGCAGACACAGUGAAUUUAUUACAGAAAUCUAGUGUGAUGGUCAUACAAUGGAGCACACUCCUGUAGAUGGGGAAUACUUCCUUUAAGAGAAAUGAAAAUGCCCAAAGUGACAAAAGUUAAUUCUGGCACCUAUGGCGUUAGAUUUUAGAUUAAUAUAAGAAAAUUCAUCCUAUUCUUCCUAGAGCCUGGAGUAAGCAUUCAUCAGAUGGAGCUGUAGUAACAGCAGGAUCAUCAUGAUCCCAAGGAACAGGGUCAGGAGUAAUUCAACAAACAAGGCCAGAACCGCAGCCAAUAAAACAGUGGAGACUGAAACUAUUCAAAAGGGAACUGCGGCUUUUGUUGGAAUCUGGCUGGAUGACAUUGCUUAGUGGAAAGCAAAAGUGCUUUUGCUUCACCACAAACACUUUACAAGGAAGGAACUUUAGAGAGGGACGACAGCAGAAACUCUUAGAAGAUUAAUGUGGAUUCCCACAGCCUGUUCUUUUAUGGAUUGCCAGGAACUCGUUCAUCAACCAUAUUCACCCGGCAAGUGAGUCUACGGCAAAAAUACAAACAUGUAUGAAACGUUUCCCUACAAUUCUGCUUUCAGAUAAGACAUGAAAUAAUUAAAGAACAGUGCCUUGAGCUACUGCUGUCCAAAGAAGCAUCAUGGCAUCCAAAUUUCGCUGCAACAGCCAAUCCAGUUCUGACUCUCAGCAAGAAGUGACUCUUUUAAACACUGGGACUGCAAACACUUUUUACAUCAUCAAAAGUAAAGAAGAGAGUGUUAAUUCUAUGAAGAAAUAGCAGCUGCCAGCAGACACAGAGCUCUCAGGAUAGAAGGGCAAAGAGCAGCUGGAAUCUACUCCAAGACAGCAGUUGCCAGAAAAUAUUGAAGUGAAGCAUAACUUUCUAUAGAAAUCAAUUGAUAAAGAUCCAGCACUUAAAGAUUAUACUUAGAGGAAAAAAUAAAAAACAGAAAAAGACUGAGAGCCUUGUAUAUGAGGCUGAGGCUUGCAUAGGCAGAUUUGAGCAAGAGAAACUUGUGACAGAUCAGAAUGCAGAUUGUAUCAUAUCAUAUUGUUAAAUGGGUACUACAAGUCUUAUGUGAGGCAAAUAUGGAAAAUUACAUCAGAUCCUGUGUUAUGUCUAUUACAGCACUUUCUUGACAAUACAACAAUUGUAUAAAAUCUUCUCAUGGUUUACAGACUCAUAUGUUAUUGACAAUAAAAUUUUUACCUUCUUGAAAUUCAAAUAUGAAGAACCUUCUGUGAAUAUAUUUAUAAAGUUACCUGGACAUCACAGGUCCUAUUUGAGUCAAAAUUCUGAAGCUCAGACUUAAAUCAUUCUGAAGUAGAUUUAUUCCUAUCUUAAGCUGUGUCUCCACCGAUGGUCAUUGCUUCCCUCAAAGCCAAGAUCAUAUAUACAUGAUGGUACAAGAUCAUGCAAGGUUGUGGUCUUUAGGCUUCCCAAACUCCAUCUUCCAUGACUGUCUCUGAGCCUAAGUGAUAAUUACUUGGGCUUCUAUUAAUUCACAGAUUAUUGAAGUAUUCAUUGUGAUUACUAUAUGUCUACACCUUUAUAAUCAAUAUGUUGUAAAUAAAUCAUCCCAGAAAUAACAUGUUUAAAGUAUGUCAUCUGUUCCUUGUUGGAGUUCUUAACGGACACAGUCCCAGAGUAUAAGACUUUUUGUAACCUGGUCCUCAUCACAACCAUAACAAAUGCAAGCUAGUACUUCCCAGCUAAGCAAAUAAAGUUUGGAGAGUUUUCUUUUUAUUUAAUUAUUUAUUUAUUCUUUUUGUUUACUUGAAAGGCAGAGUAACAGACAGAGAAAAAGAAACAGAGGACAGAGAGAGGAGAGAGGUCAAUGUUCCAUCUGAUAGUUCACUCCUCAAAUGGCCACAACAGCUGGGGCUGUGCCAGGUCAAAGCUAGGACCCAGCAACUCCACUCUCCCAUCUGGGUUCCAGGACCACAAGCACUUGGGCCAUCUUCUGCUGCUUUCCCAGAUGCAUUAACACGGAACCAGAUAAGACGUGGGGCAGACAGGA
This is a non-coding RNA of Oryctolagus cuniculus (rabbit), 2582 nucleotides long. NCBI's taxonomy places the organism in Eukaryota, Metazoa, Chordata, Mammalia, Lagomorpha, Leporidae. The record is from RefSeq and is a predicted model, not a curated record.